This is an unclassified non-coding RNA of Cebus imitator (Panamanian white-faced capuchin), 312 nucleotides long. Its record names the gene 7SK. It matches the Rfam family "7SK RNA". From Rfam's summary of the family: 7SK was discovered as an abundant small nuclear RNA in the mid-70s but a possible function has only recently been suggested. Two independent studies have found that 7SK RNA binds the CDK9/cyclin T complex (known as elongation factor P-TEFb). P-TEFb activates transcription by phosphorylating the C-terminal domain of RNA polymerase II. The record is from Ensembl. NCBI's taxonomy places the organism in Eukaryota, Metazoa, Chordata, Mammalia, Primates, Cebidae.
AAAUAUGAGGGUGAUCUGGCUGCAACAUCUGUCACCCCAUUGAUCACCAGGGUUGAUUUGGCUGAUCUGGCUGACUAGGUGGGCCUCCCCUUCCUUCCUCACCCCUCCAUGUGCAUCCCUCCCAAAGCUGCACACUCUGUCAAAGAGGACGACCACCCCCAAUAGAGGACCGGUUUUUGGUCAAGGGUAUAUGAGUAGCUGCAUUCCCCUUCUAGAACCUCCAAACAAGCUCUCAAAAAUAUACACAUAAGCAAUUAGUAUAGACAAUUGCUGUUACAUUCAUAAGUUUAUUCUGUAAUCAUAAAUAAAGUU